GGGGAUGACAGGCAUCGACGGUUAGUCCCGGUAGUAUGUGCAGUGUCGAAGCUGAUCGUAACUUCGUUAAAAUGCGAUCAUUCGUACGUGCUAAGAAUAGCGUACCAAGUCCUUACGCGAACGCGUUUGGAUUCGCAUUUGCUCGAGCGUAAGUAAUUACUGCUCGCUCAUGCGACAUCACCCUUUCUGGUAUCCGAUACAGAUUUGGUGGUGAAAUAAAAAUCGGACUCGAACACGUUACCCCGUUUCCAUAAUGUGUUUUAAAUUCUAAGGAGACUCGGGGAUGUAUGAUUUUGUGUGUCUUACACAUACAUCACUUAAAUCAAAGGACACUCUACGCACUGUAGAGUCAUGCUAACGACCUAGCUCGGACCCGGGUUCAACUCCCGGCAUCUCCACAU
RNAcentral lists this transfer-messenger RNA (401 nucleotides) under Candidatus Kaiserbacteria bacterium CG10_big_fil_rev_8_21_14_0_10_47_16. It matches the Rfam family "transfer-messenger RNA". Rfam says of the family: Bacterial tmRNA, also known as 10Sa RNA or SsrA, is named for its dual tRNA and mRNA-like properties. Lineage: Bacteria; Candidatus Kaiseribacteriota. The record is from RNAcentral. RNAcentral also lists the same sequence under 1 other name.